RNAcentral lists this ribosomal RNA (445 nucleotides) under uncultured bacterium. Its description in RNAcentral is "bacterial SSU rRNA". It matches the Rfam family "Bacterial small subunit ribosomal RNA", at positions 354 to 796 of the family's 1533-position model. The record is from RNAcentral.
GUGAGGAAUAUUGCGCAAUGGAGGCAACUCUGACGCAGCCAUGCCGCGUGCAGGAAGAAGGCGCUACGCGUUGUAAACUGCUUUUAACCGGGAAGAAACCCCAGGACGUGUCCUGGGUUGACGGUACCGGAGGAAUAAGCACCGGCUAACUUCGUGCCAGCAGCCGCGGUAAUACGAAGGGUGCAAGCGUUAUCCGGAUUCAUUGGGCUUAAAGGGUGCGUAGGCGGAGCGUUAAGUCAGUGGUGAAAUCCUGCAGCUUAACUGUAGACUUGCCAUUGAUACUGGCGCUCUUGAGUGCGCUUGAAGUGGGCGGAAUGUGCCGUGUAGCGGUGAAAUGCUUAGAUAUGGCACAGAACACCAAUUGCGAAGGCAGCUCACUAAGGCGAUACUGACGCUGAGGCACGAAAGCGUGGGGAUCGAACAGGAUUAGAUACCCUGGUAGUCC